UACGGAAGGGGCUAUCGUUGUUCGGAAUUACUGGGCGUAAAGAGCGCGUAGGCGGCUUACCAAGUUGGGGGUGAAAUCCCGGAGCUCAACUCCGGAACUGCCUUCAAAACUGGUAGGCUCGAGUCCGGAAGAGGGGCGUGGAAUUCCCAGUGUAGAGGCGAAAUUCGUAGAUAUUGGGAAGAACACCGGUGGCGAAGGCGGCGCCCUGGUCCGGUACUGACGCUGAGGGACGAAAGCGUGGGGAGAAAACCGG
RNAcentral lists this ribosomal RNA (253 nucleotides) under uncultured bacterium. Its description in RNAcentral is "partial 16S ribosomal RNA". It matches the Rfam family "Bacterial small subunit ribosomal RNA", at positions 524 to 776 of the family's 1533-position model. The record is from RNAcentral.